RNAcentral lists this signal recognition particle RNA (97 nucleotides) under Chromatiales bacterium. Its description in RNAcentral is "signal recognition particle sRNA small type". It matches the Rfam family "Bacterial small signal recognition particle RNA". From Rfam's summary of the family: The signal recognition particle (SRP) is a universally conserved ribonucleoprotein involved in the co-translational targeting of proteins to membranes. Archaeal SRP consists of a 7S RNA and homologues of the eukaryotic SRP19 and SRP54 proteins. In most bacteria, the SRP consists of a 4.5S RNA and the Ffh protein (a homologue of the eukaryotic SRP54 protein). The record is from RNAcentral. Lineage: Bacteria; Pseudomonadati; Pseudomonadota; Gammaproteobacteria; Chromatiales.
UGUCGGUCCCCCCGCGACGAUACGUUGUGAACCCGGUCAGGCCCGGAAGGGAGCAGCCGUAGCAGCGGACUCGUGCGCCGGGGUGCGGCUGGCGCGG